UGUGUGUUAUUAAUUUUAAGAGUCUUACCUGCUGAUUUGAAAUGUUACUUCCUUGUCAUUCACUUUACUAUCCUGUAGAAUCCCAGCAAGACUUCUGUUUUCUUGUUCUCACGUCUGUUCUCUGUAGCUGCCCUCACAGCCUUUCCACUCCUCUGUCUACUAUGUCUUACAGUUGUUCUCACGUGGCUUCCAACUCACAAAUGCAGCCUUUGGGUGUCUAAUUCAUUGCUUAAUCCAGAUAUCUAUUAGAUGCUCAGUUUCGGAGUCUGUUCUUUUUAUUUUAAAUAUAGCUGUUGAGUUUUUAAAGGACUCCUCCUCAUAUGAUAAAUGCUAUAUGAUCUCUUUAAAUGGAUUAAAUAGUCUACUUUACUUCAAUAAUUCUAAAUACUUCGGCUUUUUAAAUCUACUUCUCAUCUCGUAUUUCUGCUAGUUGUCAUACAUAAAAGUUCACUCGUUCAUGCAAUGGUUUCCUUUUAAUUUUUGUAAUCCCUCUUCUUAGUAUUUUAUCUGAAGAAAUUACUUAUAUGCAAAUUCUAUUUUCUAUAGAAUUUGUUUUUGUUUUUGUUUUUUUAAUGCCCAAUCUACCUAUCAAGGGUCUAGUAUGAACUAUACGCUCAGCUUUUGGGUACCCACUGCAAUUGACACUUGUGAUUAGAAUUUUUGACAGAAAGAAAAUUGGUAUUGUCUUGGGUGCAUUUUCUUUUGUUGCAAUAAAGCUCUGAUGAAAGACACUUAACAGGGGUAAGGAUUAGUUUUCACUCACACUUCUAGGGUAAAGUCUGUCCUGCUGGGAAAGGCCAGGGAACAAGGGUGUGAGGCAGCUUGCCUGUUGGUGUCCACAGUCAAAUAUGCAGCACUGACAAUGGAGCCCACUAUUCAGACCCUUGUGCAUCUGUUCAGUCCAGUACCCCUGACUAAGACAUGAUGCCCUCACAGUUGGGACAGGGCUUCCUACAGAAUUUAACCUACUCUUUGUACCCCUCACAGGGAUGCCCAAAGGCUCCUUCCCUAAAUUCUGUCAAGUGGCCAAUCGGUGGAAGCCAUCACAGGUAUCUGCUUGGAAGACACAGGCUUAUCCUCAGUGAAAAUUUCCAUUCAGUGACUUUUGAGUUUAUUCUGUGUUGGGCUGUGAUUCUUUCUCUCACACACAGCACAUUGGCAAAUGCCUUUUGAAAAGCAUCAACUCUGAUAGCUCUUUCUGAAAAAAUUCUAUUUUCUUAGUGUCAAGAUUCAAAAACUCUUAAUUUAGAUUUUUCAUGCAAUUAUCCACUAUAAUUUUUUUGUAGCAAAUGUUAGUUGACCUCUAAAAUAAACAGAUAAGGCAACAGAUGUAAAUGCACAGCUUGGUGUAUUCCCACAGAGGGGACAAACCAUAGGGCCAGAGCUAGAUCAAAAAGCACAGCUUCUGUAACCUACAGAAGUGUCUUUGACAUGUCCUUCAAGGUAUUGUCCCUCCAGGGCGGUAACUGCUAUUCUGAAUUUCAAUACCAUCUUCAUGCUGCUCAUGAAGAGUGUUCCCUAGUCCCUCCUCGUUUAAUGUCUACCUUAUCUGGACAUCUUAUCUGUAAGAGCCAUCUGUCUUCUAUAUGCUUUUCGCUCAUUUUCUGUCUCAUAUAAAUAAGCCAUAUAUUUUUUGCCCAUUUUAUUGUUGAUAAACAUUGGAGCUUUUUUUAUUGUAAGUCAUUAUGAAUCACUCAGCUAUGAACGUUACUGUGCAUAUCUAGGUGUAUGGGAGUUAGUACUUCUGCCUAGUAGAUAGUUGAAGUUGCUUGUUCAUGAUGAUUGUAUACUCCAUAGGGCUGGCAAACUAUGGUUUUGGAGGUCGCUUUUACAACUUAGAUUCUGUCCAUGGCUGUCUCAGUGUUUGGCUUGUUCUCCACUCUAGCCAGUACUUUUCCUUUCCUUCAUUCUCCCUUUUCGUUUUCAUGGUGCUCUGCUGAUAGCUGCUGAUUCCAUAAAUUAAAUGUGUGUGUGUGUGUGUGUGUGUGUGUGUGUGUGUGUGUGUGUGUGUGUAUACAUACAUGUUUAACAAUGCAUUUGUAGCUAGAUCAUUGCUGGAAAGUAUUGUAUAAAAUCACCUAAUAAUUUUCACUUGGGAUCUCCAUUUUUGCCUUAAUUUCUCGUUAUUAUUUCACUACCCUUGAAGUGAUCCUUUCAUUUGCCCAUCCUGUCCUUGAGCUCCCCCCGCUGAUGAACAUGUGUAUCUGCAACAGUAGAGUCUUAGAUGAUGCUGUAUUUAAACAGAAAAUCCCAUUAUCCAAAACAGCAAGGCUGUGACAUCAAUUUAACGUAUUGACUUGGGAUAGAAGAAAUGUUGAAAUUAAUGCUUAAAGCUAGUAUCAUAAAUAUAGGAAAUCUCUAUGUUCCUCCUUCAUUUCACUAUCAAUUUAUAAUUCUAAAAACAAAUAAAAUAUUUAGAAUUGAUACUUUAGGGCUGGAGGCAGGGUACAGUGGUGCAGUAAUUUUCUAGAAUUCCAGAGAUCCAAUAUUUGAUCUCUGGCACCACAAAGAACAGAAACAUAUGAUAUGAACUAAUAAUUUCAAAUACCAAUUCUACUGGCAAUGUAGGCUAAUUUAUACCAGAUUUGAGUUGCUUAUUAUUUUCUGGCUUCAUAUUAUUAAAAGCCAGACAAACUAACUGAGCCAUAUGUUGUUUUCUGGGGUAUGGCUCCAAACACAUUGCCUUCAUUGGCAUGAACUGUUUCUCAUGGGAAUACACUAUCUAAGGUUUGGAGAUUUACUUUUUGCCUGUCAACAUUAAUCUCCUUAACAUUCAUUUUGGAAAUAGGGUCACAUACACCUAUACUAAUGCAUUGCAAGAAGCCAAUCAAGUGCAGGUGUAAAAAGAGCGAUUUUGUGUUUCUCUCGAUGCCUUAAGUUAAUGAUGCUGUUUGAACACAUUUUUGGAAAAGUACUAGUAAGAGAGCCAUUUCAGAGUCAGACAGGUGGAUGCUUCCAACCUCUGAUAAUGUUCAUGUCACUUCCCAUUCUCCACCUGUGCCUUCCCCAGUUAUUAAAACUGCAGCCUGCUUAGGCUCAGUUCUUUGUGGCCCUAAAAAGUAG
This 3063-nucleotide long non-coding RNA is filed under the name Mus musculus (house mouse). RNAcentral's name for it is "long non-coding RNA chr13:109517498-109520561". The record is from RNAcentral. Lineage: Eukaryota; Metazoa; Chordata; Mammalia; Rodentia; Muridae.